This 3364-nucleotide unclassified non-coding RNA is filed under the name Centruroides sculpturatus (bark scorpion). RNAcentral describes it as "zinc finger protein 43-like, transcript variant X4". Lineage: Eukaryota; Metazoa; Arthropoda; Arachnida; Scorpiones; Buthidae. The record is from RNAcentral.
UCCGUUAUGGUUACUAAAUUAUCAAGCAAUUUUGUCGUUUUCGAGCAUUUUCGUAAUAUUUUUUCUAUGGGAAAGAGAAAUAGCAGCAUGCCGAAUAAGUGUUUUGUGUCCUGGUGUAAGUCUGGCAAGCGCAAAUCUCGUGAGAAGCGUCAUUUUUUCACGCCAUAUCCGAACCUGUUAGAUAAGUGGAGACAUUUAAUUCCUCGAAGAAGAGAUUUAGAAUUCUCCAAAAAGUCGAAAAUAUGUGACUUGUAUUUUGAUGAAAGAUUUAUACUUAAGAAUUAUGUGCAUAUAAUUGAGGGUAAGAGAGUCGAGAUGCCACAUGGAAAAUGGCAACUGACACGUGAUGCUUAUCCUACGAACUUUCCCAAUUGCCCGUCAUGUUUGCCUGUUAAAGUUCCUAAAUUACGUCAGUCUCCAAGGAAGAGAAAAACUACUCCCAACGUAAAUAACAAUUCAAAAGUUGUAAAGGUAUUAUCGACCCCGAGGAACAAGGACAACAGAAGCAACAGUCUGCAGCCAUCGACGUCUAGACAGUCAACUGAAAUGGAACUUAUUCUAGCUCAAAGGCACGUGAACAACAUUGUAUCUGAGAUAGUUCCAGAAAUCGAGCAAAACAAAGUUUUAGGCAUGGAUACUCCAGGGCAAAGAAAGCGGAGAAAAAGAAGUCUUGCCAGUACUACCCGAGAUCGCAACUAUGUUAGACGUAAUGGAACCAAAGUAGCCUAUUCUCAGAAAGAAAAGAAAAAUAAUAUAAAGUACAAAGCCACGCGAAUAAAAUACGUCGAAGAAGUUGUAGAUUCUUCUCGAGAUAUGCAAAUUCUUGACAAUGCAGAGGCUGUAGAACAGGUCAAACUUACCACAUUGGGAUCCGGAUGUGAAAUUGGAAGAAGCUGUCGAGAGACAGGACCAGUGGGAGGAGCCUCUUGGUACCGGAGAACAGGUGACAUGAAUGAAGAUGAAAUUGCCAUUAAAAAGAAACCAGAGUGGGACGUUGAUGCCAAAAUUGAUCAUUUGUCUCGUUUGCAAUUUGAAAUCGAUAGCUCAAGUAUUAAAGCCGAGCGCAAUAGUACCGCUAUGGAGAAUGAUCUGCCUUUGAAAAAUGGAGAAGAGACGAUAUAUAAAAAUAACAGUGCAUAUUUUCAAGACAACUACAUUUAUGCAGAUUUCAAGCAUGAAAUAAAAAAAGAAUUUCGUGAUGAACCCGAAUGUACGAAUGACACAUUUACUGUGAAUGGGAACGAGAAUAAAGAAAACGUACAAGAGGAAGAAAGAUAUCUGACUGUGAAAGAUUUACGAUGGAAUAAUAAUAAUCCUGAUAUUCUGCUGGAUCCAAAAUUAAAAUUACAAUGCAAAGUUAUUUGUGAAAAAGUGAAUUUCGAAAGUGGAAAAGCACCACCUUUAAAGUCACGGCAGAAAGAAAAUGAUGUAUCAAGUAUCAAGAACCACAAAGGUUGUAAUUGCUCUUAUUCAGUCAACAAUAAUAAAUUAUAUGAUUGUUCUGAUUGUACAGAAAUUACAAGGUUGUCUUCAUCAAAUAACGAAAUUGGAGGAAAUGAAGAAAUAAUUAAGAAUGUCCUUACCGAUAACCUCAACAAAGGGACUUAUAUGAAGAACUAUUUUAAUCGUGAUAACUGCAAGAAAAAUUAUAAAGGAAUUAGUAACUUAAUUCCAAAAUUUAUUAUUAAAUUGAAAUUAUGCAGAAAUCGAGUUUUGAAAAGGCAUUUAUUCAUUUCGUCGAGAAAGAAGCUGGAGUGUUAUAUUUGCAAGAAGACAUUUUCAUAUAGUAUACUAUACGGCAAUCAUCUGUUUGAACAUUCCAAUAAAAGAACUUACCCCUGUAAUGUCUGUAAAAAACAGUUUUUCUUCAAAUGUUAUUUUGAGGAACACAAAAAAUCACAUAUAGAAGGAACUCCGUUUUCUUGUUCAAAAUGCAAGAAGAGAUUUAAACUUUCAUCUGAAUUAGUAAAGCACAGGAAAUAUCAUUUCAAAGUUAAAUGUUGCUCGAAAGUCGGCCGCAACCUGUGCAAACGUUAUGUAAAGGAAGUUAAGUCGAGAAAACUGAAGUAUUCCAAAAAUAGACUAUUUCUGUGUGAGAUUUGUGGGAAAAUAUUUCAUUGUCAAAGUUAUUUUGGGACCCAUUUAAUGUAUCAUUCUGAUAAAAGGCCGUUUGAAUGCAAAUUCUGCAGAAAAAGUUUUAAGACAAAGGCUUGUUUGAAAGUACACAAAGAGUAUCAUUCCUAUAAAAUGCGUCAUUCAUGCAAACUCUGUGGAAAACAAUAUAAGACUAAAUAUAGCUUAAAACUACAUCAGGAUAGUCAUAGCAACAUAAGAGCUUUUCAAUGCAAAUUAUGCACCAAAUCAUUUAACUUAAAAUCAAUAUUAAUUAUGCAUCAGAAGGUUCAUUCAGAUGUGAGGUCUUUCUUGUGUGAAAUAUGUGGAAAAACAUUUAAGACCAAACAAAAUUUAAUACAACAUCAGAAGAGUCAUAGCAAAGAAAGGUCUUUUCCAUGCAAGUUGUGCACCAAAACAUUUAAACUGAGAUCCAUGUUGAUGGGACAUCAGAAUCUUCAUUUGGAUGUAAUGCCUUUCUCAUGUGAAAUUUGUGGAAAAGUUUUCAAAUCACUGCUGUUACUAAUUGAACACAAUGUGCGUCAUGCCAAUAGCAAACCUUUUGAAUGUGAAAUUUGUCUGAAGCAUUUUAAAGUGAAAUCAACUCUAAUAUCACACAUUAGAAUGCAUGCUACAAAAGCCUAAAGGUCCUGUGCGUGACAUAUGCAGAAAGAAUUUUAAGCAGAAAUCGAAGUUAAAAGAUGCAGAGAAGAACCCAUUUUAAGAAAAGUUUUCCAGUGAAGAAAUAGAAAGGAAGUAAAGUCAUGAGAAAAGUCAGCAGUGCAACCAACUCCUUGCUAGUAUUUCGUUUUUUCAAGUGACAUCCAAUUUGUUGGGCUAUUACUUAGUUUUAUUUUCUGCUAUAGAAAUCUGGAAGCCAAGGUCAAAAGACAUGGGUUUGAACAUUGGCUGGCUCGUGAACUUUCAGAGUGAUCUGGCUGGAUAGGUCACAUCCUGUACUUUGACAAGUAGGUACGUGCUCUGGGAGAAGUGUUUAAAGUGCUUUGGAAUUGUCAAAUUUCAUUAAAUUAUCCCUUCAUUAAAAGAAGAUCCAUUUUAUAUGAAGCUUUUUGAGAGAAACAUAUCAUCAUCAUCAUCAUCAUCAGGUUAUUCUGACUAAAGAAACAAAAUGUAAGAGAACUAAAUAUGAAACUGAGCUGUGAAUAACAAUAAUUAUUAUUAUUCAGUUUCAUAUCAGUUGUUCAUGUUUUCUAUUUAUGUAAGAAUUAAAAUUAUAUAUAAUAAAAUAAUA